AUAGAAGCAGUGCCACCGUCACAAACCCUCACUGAUGCAGCAUCUUCAACCCACACCCCCAGGGUUCAAGAUAUGCAGCUUUAUCUAAACUCCCCAGAAGCUGUAUUUUGAGUGUCUCACUCUCCUGUUUCAAUUCCCCUUCUCCUUUCCAUCAGACUGUGUGUGUUACUCACUCAGUCGUGUCCAACUCUUUGCGACCCCAUCCUUGAACUGUACCUUGCCAGGCUCCUCUGUCCAUGGGAUUUCCCAGGCAAGAAUACUGGAGUGUUUUGCCAUUCCCUUCUCCAGGGGAUAUUCCUGACCCAAGGAUCAAAAAGGGUUUCCUGCAUGCAGGCAGAUUCUUUACCAUCUGAGCCACCAGGGAUAGUUUUUGCCUCCCUUUGGACAAAGGAAAACCGGCUCAGAAAGUAUUCUUCCAAAUUUUUGUCCUCCCCUCCACAGUCCUUGAAAUACAGCUUUUGAACUUAAAAGCUGAGAAUUAACAUAAAGGGCUGCUGGUUCUUCUGUGACACUCAUCCCGGGUCAGAGAAGGUCUGCUCUUUGUCCUUGUGAAUUCAGGAAGGUACAGCAAAAGGCGGGGAGGGGGAAGUCAGUCAGGAUGCCUAGCAUCCUGCCAGACUUGUGAACUUGGUUCUGUCUUUCCCACAUUACUUUAGGCCUGGAGCAGGGGCGGGAGGGUAUGUUUGAUGUGUUUCAGCAUCGCAUACCUGGAAUCCAGCAUGUGUCAGGUAUGCAAGUAUCUGUGGAGUUUAUGAAUGAAUGAAGCAAUGGAAAAUCAGCAUUGUGCUUGUAUGCAUGCACACCAGACAUAAGAACAAUUGUGCAGCUCCCAAUCAGGGCACAGUGACCCAGUGACUGGCAGUGACUAGAGGUGGGUAGGAACUAGAGUACGUUAUCACGGGUGGCCGAUCCUCAGAGAAACUUCAGAAACUAUGUCAUAACCUGGAAACAUUUUACUGGGUCUGAAACUGAAAACUGGAGAAGCAGGCUAGACCGAAAACAUCCAGACCACACUGGAUUUUCCUGAGGUCCACUGAAUCCACGCCAGCCCCUCGUACCUUUGCUGAGGUGAGGUCUGCAGAUGGAAAACUUGGCUUUGAAGCUCAGGACAGAGUUGAAAGCUCCACACAGAGAAGUGUCUUUAAAGUCUCAUGUUUUAUAUUAAAUCUUCAAGUUGACUUCCUAUUUGACUCCAUGAUAAGUGUGUAUAUGUGUUUUAAAACAAAAAUUAAUGUCUUUCUCACAGCCUGCUGUGAGCUCAGAGCUCUUUUACACUUCCAUAAAUCAUUUUAGCUUUGAGCUUUUCUCUUCCAGACUGAUAACGCUGUCACAUGAAAGUCCUCACCAAAGCUGGAACUCACUGUUAGAUUUAUAUUUUGUGCUGAUGUACUGGCAGGAAUUAUGACCCAAAGAGAUCGGGAAACAGAGACAUAAAUAUAAACACAAUUAACGAGUUCUUAUUCUUGUUUUUACAACUUUCAGGACAAGUUUUAUGUUGACAAAUUCUGUUAUGUUUGAAAUCGUAAGUACUUGAAAUCUGUGUAAAACAAAAAUAGUGAGUGUCCAAACUCAGACUGCAUGGUUGUGAAUAUUUUGCCAUUUUACUCCAGACAUGCUUGAGUGGUGACUCAAGACCCCUCUUCCUCUCACCCAGGCCCUUCCCUCCCUCCUCAAAGGAGCUUCUAUCUGCCAUUUGUUUUGGAGUUGUCAGAUUUUACAUAAACAGUAGGAUGUGCUGGGUUUGUUUUGCAGCUUCAUUUUUGCCUCAGUGCUUUCCUGACAUUUAUCCACAGUCCUCUGUGCAGACAGAGCUAGAGCAGUAAGCUUGGAGUUUGAGGAAAUGGCUUUUGCCCACUUCUGCUUUGAUGGAGUACACAAGCCUCGUGGGGUGUUUGAAGACUCCUGAGAGGGGGUCUCCGAAGCGCCCUCUUCUCUGGGCUCUUGGGCGAGUAUGUGCGUGCUCAGUCGUGUCUGACUCUUUGCAACCCCAUGGACCACAGCCCACCAGGUUCCUCUGUCCAUGGGAUUACCCAGGCAAGAAUACUGGGGUGGGUGGCCAUUCCCUUCUUCAGGGGAAUCUUCCCGACCCAGGAUCAAACUCAGGUCUCCCCCAUUGCAGGUGGAUUCUUUAUCAUCUGAACCACCAGUACACAUAUAACCCCUCCCUCCUAAACCUCUCUCUCAACCCCCACCCACCUUUCUAGGUUAUCAGAGCACUGAGCUGAGCUCCCUUAUACAACAGCGCCCCACUAGCUAUCUACACAUAAUAGUGUAUAUAUGUCUAUGCUACUCUCUCAGCUUUUCCCAACUCCUUCCUCCCACUGUGUGCACAAGUCUAUUCUCUGUGUCUGCGUGGUGUUACUUCUUUACUUUUAUGCAAUACCAAACCUGAACUGAAAACUACUGUGUCUUGAACUCUCACUGUGGGCCAGGUACUGUGGUAGGUCUUAUAGACCAGUGAGGGUUAGGACACACAUGGUGCAUGUUGAAUAAAGAAGCUGAGGCUUCACGAAUUUAUCUAACAUGACAAGAAGGCUCAGAACAGGCUGUCAGACCUCAGGGCCUUCUGGUCAGCUACACACUGUAGAGUCUUGGUCUCACUGUCCAACCCGCAGUCUGGACUCGGGGGCAGUGUCCCUGAGCUGCCCCUGGGUGGUGCCAGCAUCCCCCACCACUGCCUCUCAUCUCCUGCUGGUGAUGCCCCGGACCCUCUCAGAUGAGGAAGGGAGGCCUGCACUUCUUGAGGAAGCAGGGUUCCUGCUGGCUGGAGGCCUCCUCGUAAGGGCCACCUGCUGGCCACUGAUGCUUUCACCUCGAAUCUGGGAGAAACUUUACAUCCCCAUGGCAGUAUGCCACUUCCCAUCCUUCCCAUCACCGUGAGUGUCAGAGCUACUUCAGCCGUGAGCCUUGGCACAUUACUGGUAUAAAGUGUAAAUAUCUGAAUGCUGAUUAUCGUAAAACAAACAGACCACUGUGUCCGGAGCAGAUGGGUGUGAUUCAGGCAGCCAGAGACCCCAGCUGGCAGGCAGCUUGUGCAUCUCUGAACAGCCAGAAACAAGCUUCCCAACCUCCCUGCCCUGCCACCACCUGCUGCCCCCUUUGCAGAAAGUUCCGAGAGCUAAAAGCUGCCCGGGGCCACUUGCCUGUGUGAGCCUUUGCCUCUUACUUAUUUUUUAUACUUUUUAUUUUCUAUUGGGUAUAACUGAUUAACAAUGUUGUGAUCAUUUCAGGUGAAUAGCGAAGGGACUCAGCCAGCUAUACAUAUGUAUCCAUUCUCCCCUAAACUCCGCUCCUAUCCAGGCUGCCACAUAACAUUAAGUAGAGUUCCCUCUGCUGUACAGUAGGUCCUUGUUGCUUAUCCAUUUUAAAUCCAGCAAGUCUCUGCCUUUUCAACCAUUUUCCAUCUGCCCUGCCACCCAAGGACAGACCUCGAACUGCUGAGGAAGAUGGUCCCAUUGAGAGGGCAUGUCCCUGUCCAGCUGGGCAUCCCACCACUCCUGGUCACCCAUGUGUGUACCAGACAGCCAGGCUCACCAUCCUGGCCAGAAGGGACUGAGCCCCCUGCACAGCUCCACUCUGUCUCUUAGGGUCCACCUCUGGUCCCCUCCUCUUUGAAGCAACCAGGAUGACCUCAAUCCUGGUCGCUCCUCUGUCCAUUCACCCAUCUUGGGACAGCGAAGGCAGUCAGAAUCAUCACUUUGUCAGAAUCAUCACUUUGUCUUCCUACCGAGAGAGCAAACCCCCUGGGAUCAGGGACCUCCACACCUGGAGUUCCUCUAAAAGUGUUGGGAGCUGGCCUCCCCUUCUGAUGGGCAGAAUUCAUGUGGUUGGCCAGCCGGGCAAGGCUCUCCAGUGGCUGCCAGCUCAGAGCCCUGUGGAUUCUGUGAACAUAAAAAAGAAUGUUAAGGGAAACAGAAUUUUAGGGGACCACGUGAUUCCACCAAUGCAGGGACCUAGGCUAGAAUUCAGCAUGGUAUUUGUGGCAGAGAGGGACAAAAAUUUCAUUAAAAUUUUAAGCAAGGUGCACCUUCCCCAGCUUUGAGAUAUAAUAGGAAAACAUGGGACUCUGGAACGGUGUAGAGGAAGGGAACCAUUCAGAGCCAAAUGAGAUUAAUAAUGUUUGUAAGGAGUUUGUUAUAAAUAUUGUGUGUGUUCAGUCACUCAGUCGUGUCCAACUCUUUGCAGCCCCAUGGACUGUAGCCCGCCAGGCUCCUCUGAUGGGAUUUCCCAGGUCCAGCCCGCCACCUCGGGACACAAGCACUGAGCCCGUGGACCUGCCAUGAAACCGCACCUGAAGCAAUGGAGACAAGGAAUGCUCUGCGGGGUGUUUGCGUGGGGGCUCCUCUUUGUGGUGAUCUUCCUCUACUUCACCGACAGCAGCCCGGCCAAGCCCGCGCCCAGCUCCUUCUCCUUCCUGGAGACCCGGAGGCUGCUGCCCGCACAAGGAAGGCAGCGGGCCAUCAUGGGGGCCUCGGAGGGCCUGCCCGAGGGCGCGGACUCGCGGCGGGGGUCUCCCCGGGGACUCCCAUCCGGCCCCCUGCGGACAUGGGCCGGAGAUGGCUUUGAACAUGAACAAGAGUUUCUUUCGGCCCAAACAGGGAGAACGUCCCUAAGCGCUUUUCUCCCGGAGGACCCCGCUCCGGGCACGUCGGGGCGCCUCUCCCCUGGGGACCCAGGCCCGGAGAGGGCUCAGCCGCCACGCGCAGUCCUGGGACGUCGGGCGAAGCGAGGGCCCCGGAGGCAGGGCCGGAGCGCGGGGGGCGAGGACGGGGAGCGGCUGUACUCGUCCAUGUCCCGGGCCCUGCUGCGACGGCUCUGGAAGGGCGACGCGUCGGCGCGCAUGCUGCACCCGCGCCUGCAGAAGGCCAUGGGUGCCUACCUGCGCGCCAACAAGCACGGCGUGCGCUUCCGGGGGCGCCGCGCGGCCGGGCGGAGCCGCACCGAGCUGCUGUGCGCCUUGCGGGGCCGGGUACAGGUGCGCACCCUGGACGGCACUGAGCCGCCCUUCUCGGCACUGGGCUGGCGCGCGCUGGUCCCUCCGGUGCCACUCAGCCGGCUGCUCCCACGCAGGCUCCGGACCUGCGCCGUGGUCACGUCGGCAGGCGCCAUCCUCAACUCGUCGCUGGGCGAGGAGAUAGAUUCCCACGAUGCGGUUUUGAGGUUUAACUCUGCUCCUACACGUGGCUAUGAGAAGGAUGUCGGAAAUAAAACCACUCUCCGCAUCAUUAAUUCCCAGAUUCUAACCAACCCCAGCUAUCACUUCAUGGAUAGUGCAUUGUAUAAAGACGUCAUCUUGGUGGCCUGGGACCCAGCUCCUUAUUCUGCAAAUCUUAACCUGUGGUAUAAGAAGCCAGAUUACAACCUGUUCACACCAUAUGUUCAGCAUCGUCAGAGAAACCCGAACCAGCCAUUUUACAUUCUUCACCCCAAGUUUAUCUGGCAGCUUUGGGACAUCAUCCAGGAGAACACGAAGGAGAAGAUCCAGCCCAACCCACCGUCCUCUGGCUUUAUCGGCAUCCUGCUGAUGAUGAACCUGUGUGGCGAGGUGCACGUGUAUGAAUACGUCCCGUCAGUGCGGCAGACAGACCUGUGUCACUACCACGAGCCCUACCAUGACGCCGCCUGCACACUGGGUGCCUACCACCCGCUGCUCUACGAGAAGCUGCUGGUACAGCGGCUCAACGUGGGCACCCAGGGCGACCUGCAUCGCAAAGGCAAGGUCGUGCUGCCCGGGUUGCAGGCUGUGCGCUGCCCACCAGGUGCCUGAGGGCCUGGCCGGGCUCUGCAUCCCGGAGAUGCUGGAAGGCACCCUGGAGGCCGCGUGACCUCAGGUUCAUAUCAUCUGCUGGGAUCCUGACGGUGAUACACUGACUUCCGCUACUUCUUCCUACAGUCAGAUGGUUAGGAAUCCCACCAUCACCUUCACAGAUCUGUUGUACGUCAGUAACAUAACAAAGCCAUAUAAUUAAAUACAUUUGCGUGAAAGCACUGCUCUUUAACAACAACAACAAAAAAAGUAUAUGAUUCAGAGGGAAAGACAGUGAGAGGGGAGAGUCAGCCCAGUGUGUUAGCUGUAGCAGCUCAUUUUGUUGUAAUCUCAAUUUUUGUCACAAAAGCAUCAAAAAAAAUUUUUUUUCCAUACAUGUAGUAAAACAGAAACAUUAUGGAAUACCUUAGUUCAACGUACAAUUUGAAUCUAUACCCAACACCUAUCUCAGCGGUCCAGUUACAACUUCUUGGCCAGAACAGUCACAGCUUCAUUAAAUGUGUUCUUCUCCACAAGUGUGUGAACAUCAGGAAAGUUUAGUACAGAAGGUUUUUUUGUUUCAGGAUUUUUUUUUUUUUUUCCUGAGCAAGAAUGGUUGACAGAAACUGGCCUCUCUGGUCAGUCUACUCAGCAGAAAUUGGGCCAGGUCCCGGACAUCUCCUGUGGCUUAUUGCCACAGUGAAUUUGGGGUCAUUGAAAAGUUUUGAUUGUGACAAUAUCCACUAUAAGCCUACUGUGAGAGCCUCGCUUCCAGAUUUAUGAUAAGGGAUGGAUAAUUCUGUCCAGCCUGCCAACUAAUAUCCAAGCAGACAUGAGCAGGCCACUUUUCUCCCUCAUUUCCUGAAGGGACACAGCGCUAUGCAGUGUCCAGUGAGUCCCGACUCUGGGAAGUGGCUGGUGCAGGGUGACCAGUCCAGUCACCCAGGGCCCUGCCCAGACCUGCAGGCUCUGACCUCAGGUGCCCAUGACACUGAAGUUUCUUCACUCACUUUCCUACUGGGUUCCCCUCUGGGCCCCCUUGUGUCCAGAACAGCCCCUUCUGCUGGCAUGAGUUACUGGGCAGAAGGAAAUUUGCUGGCGGGUCAGCAUAGAUAUAAGUUCAGAAGGCCCAGAAAACACUUCAAAGGCCUCCAAAUAUACUUUGUUGUAACCGAUGCACUUUUAAAAUGUACUUUUAGCUCACAGAGAUUAUAAGAAAGACUGAAGAAGAUAAAGAAAAUGUAAUUAAAGAUUUUGGAUUAAUUAUGGCCUUAAAGACUCUUGGGAACCAGGGUCUGUUAAAAACAACGUGGUACAAGUAUUCAUACAUUGCAGGCUGGGCAUUCUUCUGCUUAAGAGUUUAAGUUGUUUAGUUCCUUGAAACUAUUAGGCAGUUAUAGUUGAUGUGUUGACUCUUCACGUCUGCAGACAGUGAUUAAGCCCUCGAAAUACACACAUUGCAAUAAGCAGCCAGCCUCUCCAUGAAGGAAUUAAAGGAAAUGGUGCCCGCUGCAUUGCUUUCAGACUUCACCUCUUCCAGACCUUCCACCCUUGCUACAAAGAGAUACUCCAUAAACUGAGGCCGUUAGGUGAUCCUUUCUUCUCUCUCAGGACUGAAGAAGGUCACUCUGCGUCACUUCUUCAGGUAACUUCACUCCACCUUUUGUUGUUGCUGUUGUCACACUGAAAUGUUGACUAGAAAUGACAGCUCACUCACGUCCAGGUCCCAGGUCCUCCCCUUGAGGCUGUCCAGCCCUUCCCCAGGUAUGAAGGGAGGGUCUAAUAUGUAGAGCAUCCUCACUGUCCCCAGGGAUGCCAUUGCUGGCCCUUUGCAUCACUUUAAGGGCAAAGGGCCCACAGGUGGACAGGAAGGAGGUACAUAAGUACCCUCCUCUGAUAGGGCUGGCGAGGGACUUUGGUUCAACUUUGGUCCCAGGGUCUGUCAUUGUCCACAGUAUGCAGGCCUCAGGGAACCCCAGCCCCACCCUCCCACAUGUCCCACACCCUCCUUUAAUCAACCCUGGGCUCCCCAGUAAUCGUCAUCACAGUAGCUGUAGCAUCUAGACAAAGCCAUGCUGAAGUAAUGAUCAGCCUUCUCAAAGCUGGGAAAUGAAAGUAAGUGUUUAAAGCCACCUGGGGUCACUCUGUUACAUGACCAUGAGCCAGUUCCUUCUGGUGGAACAGAUUAAUUCCUGAUGUUGUGGGCUGUCCCCUAGGGGCAGGAACACUCACAGCCACAGAAUUAAUUAGGUCCAGUCUGGCCGUGUGGAGUGGGGUCAGGACACGUGAGGGAUGGUAGGUGAUGGAGGAUUUUAUGUGCACAGAUGAUGUCAUGAUGAAAGCACUCUCUCCAGCCUUUCUCUUAGAGAUCAAGGCACUGUGCGUGGUUGAGGCUGGUGGCCAAAGUGACCCAGUCCCACUGCUGCUUAACUAUGGGGAGAGGCAGAGCCAGGAGGUAGGGUGAUGACCAAGAAACACGUGGCUGAGUGCACAGGCCACAUAGUGUGUGAAUAUAUUCAACCAGAUUCCCUGUGUCGACUUCUCACUUUCUGAUUGUUUAGGACUCUUACCCAGAGGUUCCACAGCCAAUGAGGGCAUGUAUGUAAAAAUUCAGUGCUUAGGGAAAGUGUGCCUGAGUUCACAUUUGUGUGUUAUGCUCCGGAUAUUUCCAUCAUGAAAUUAUUCUGCAUGUGUCUGUGUGUCUGUCUCUCAGGCAUUAUUUAUACCACUGGUAAAUGAAAGAUAUUAAUCUAUUGAGGGAAUAAAUUAUAAGUUCUGAUUCUUGCUUUAUUAAGUAGCUGAAGCCUUUUAGUAAGAAGAAAUCCAGAAAAUUUCUCUAUGAGCUCAGGCUAAUAGAAUUUAAGGAAUGAAAGAUACUGAUAUAGUUCUGAUUCUUGUUAUAACAAGUGUGCAUGUAGAUAUAGUUAUAUAAUUGUAUAUAUACGUAUCUACACACAUGGUUGCUUUUAAACUGUUUUUUUUUCAUCAAACUUUAUUCCUAAAACUUUGACAAUAAAUUUUUUUAAUUAUGCAAACACCAGUUUUUUAAGAAAAGUAAGCAAAUGUUAUAUGUCUUUCUGUGAAAUAAAAAAAUCCAGUUUUCCCAUGCACUCAUAUUUCACACCUUCUGGCUACAUUAAAAAAUAUGGCAGAAAUAUUUACAAGGUGCUCUGAGGGUAGAACUACAACCUAAAGGUUAUGUCCUCAUCAGAAACCUAAUUGAAGUCUGAUCUUUGAUGGGAAGUUGAUCUAGAAUUCAUGGUUUUUGCAAGAUUAGGGGAAGAAAUGCUUAUUUGGUUCUAUGGGAAAUAGUCUCCUAGCUUAGGUUUCACACAAAUUAACUGCAUCAGAACUGUUAAAACCUAACAUUUAUGACACCACACAUCGUGUUAUAUUCUAGAUAAAAAUCCUUGUGAAAUUUUUCUUGGAAAAAAAAUCCUUGAAAACCAGUCAACUUUUUUAACAGCUUUGGGAAUUUUUUUGUAUGAUACUUUUUAAAAUGAAAUGUGUACUCUUCAAAAUGAAUUAAGGCUUGAGGUUUUCCAGGAGUCACCUUUUAAACGUGUUUGUACACAGUUUAACACUUUGAUAUUUUCUAGUUUGGUUUUGUAUAUUUUUAUGUGUACACAAUGUACAGACUUUUUUCCCUGUAAAUAAAACAUGUUUUCAUUUGUCUA
Molecule: RNA transcript, 9423 nt
Organism: Dama dama (fallow deer)
Lineage: Eukaryota; Metazoa; Chordata; Mammalia; Artiodactyla; Cervidae
Gene: ST6GAL2
Gene name: ST6 beta-galactoside alpha-2,6-sialyltransferase 2
Exons: 7
Source: RefSeq, a predicted model, not a curated record